Molecule: ribosomal RNA, 405 nt
Filed under: uncultured bacterium
Lineage: Bacteria
Description: partial 16S ribosomal RNA
Rfam family: Bacterial small subunit ribosomal RNA
Source: RNAcentral
AUUGAACGCUGGCGGCAGGCCUAACACAUGCAAGUCGAGCGAGCGGCGGGCGUGUGAGUAAUAUAUCGGAACGUGCCCAGUAUCGGGGGAUAACUACUCGAAAGAGUGGCUAAUACCGCCUACUAUUGGAGCGGCCGAUAUGGGAUUAGCGAGGUGGUGGGGUAAAGGCUCACCAAGGCAACGAUCCGUAGCUUGUUUGAGAGGACGACCAGCAACACUGGGACUGGAACACGGCCCAGACUCCGACGGGAGGAAGCAGUGGGGAAUAGUGGACAAUGGGAGAAAACCUGAUCCAGCCAUCCCGCGUGUAUGAGAAGGCCUUGGAGUUGUAAAGUACUUUAAGCAGGGAUACGGUAACUGCAGAAUAAGCACCGGCUAACUACGUGCCAGCAGCCGCGGUAAUUC